Spinacia oleracea (spinach) is the source of this 1041-nucleotide long non-coding RNA. RefSeq lists it as uncharacterized. The record is from RefSeq and is a predicted model, not a curated record. NCBI's taxonomy places the organism in Eukaryota, Viridiplantae, Streptophyta, Magnoliopsida, Caryophyllales, Amaranthaceae. The transcript has 4 exons.
AUACUUCUACUCCAUGUAAAACACAAAACACCAAACCCCUCUAUUCCUACUUCACGUAAAAACCAAAAAGGGCAAAACCCAUCUCUCUCCUUUCCUGCUUCCUCUUCCUCCCUCUGCCCAGCCGCCGACCACCACGAGCACGCCACCAAGGCCGCCAGACCACCUCGCCGCCACGUCGCUGACCACCAGCUCUCACCACCACCUUGCUCGCGCAGCCCCCGCGUCGCCACCCAGCCUGCGCCGCCGCUGCCUUGUCCCUGCUCGCCGCCACCGCAAGUAGCACCACCGUGUGCCGCCGUCUCUCAGCCCUGCCGCAAGCCACCUCUGUCCGCCAGCCAACUCUCUCUCCUCCUUCUUGAAUUGGCGGAGAAUUCUCUUUAGGCGACUUUUGAAAGUGUUAAAGUGGCCUAUCAGUUUGUUUACACAAGGUACGUACAUACCUGUGUGCUUGGAAUGUGUGCUAAUUGUUGAAACCAUGUUGAAUCUUGUUGUUGAACUUGGUUAUGUUGAUAUUAUGGACGAACUGGGUUAUAUUGAAUGUGCAUGUUUAAUACUGUUGGACAAACUUAUUGAACUUAUUUUGCACUAUGAGAACUGUAACAUGUUAGUAUGGAUGAUUGAUACAAACAUGUUGGUUGGGAACACUAGAUUAUUCUAUAUGAUUGGUUUGGAUCGAUUGGUUGUUGUUCCCUUUCUAUCUUUUCACUACUUUAUGAGGGCGGAGGACCUUGUUUAGUAAGUUGAAACUUUAUGCCCAUAUACAGGGUUGCUCAUGGUUAAAGGAAAGGUUGGAUAAAUUGGAAUGAGUCUUGAUUGAUGCUUUUAUGAUCACUUACUUAAUUCCAAGAUAAAAACAGUUGUGAACAAAUGUGAAUUGUAUGUCUUAUGUAAUGGUUGAGUCAUAACGGAAUCUCAAUUUGUAAAUCAUGUAAAGUGAAACCGAAUAGCAAUAGCUUUAGACUGUGCACGUCUGAAGUGACGGACAAACAGGAGUUGGGGUUCAUGGUGGUAGCCCAUGGCCUUUUCUGGGACCGGAUUGAU